This 379-nucleotide unclassified non-coding RNA is filed under the name uncultured Gammaproteobacteria bacterium. Its description in RNAcentral is "contains 16S-23S intergenic spacer region". Lineage: Bacteria; Pseudomonadati; Pseudomonadota; Gammaproteobacteria. The record is from RNAcentral.
UCCGGUUUGUCACCGGCAGUAUCCCAUGAGUCCUCGGCCGAACCGUUAGCAACAUGGGACAGGGGUUGCGCUCGUUGCGGGACUUAACCCAACAUUUCACAACACGAGCUGACGACAGCCAUGCAGCACCUGUGUUCAGGUUCCCUUUCGGGCACCGCCGCAUCUCUGCGGCGUUCCUGACAAGUCAAGGGUAGGUAAGGUUUUUCGCGUUGCAUCGAAUUAAUCCACAUAAUCCACCGCUUGUGCGGGUCCCCGUCAAUUCCUUUGAGUUUUAACCUUGCGGCCGUACUCCCCAGGCGGUCAACUUCACGCGUUAGCUUCGUUACCAAGGGAAUCAAUCCCCCGACAACCAGUUGACAUAGUUUAGGGCGUGGACUAC